GACGAACGCUGGCGGCGUGCUUAACACAUGCAAGUCGAACGGAAAGGCCCUGCUUUUGUGGGGUGCUCGAGUGGCGAACGGGUGAGUAACACGUGAGUAACCUGCCCUUGACUUUGGGAUAACUUCAGGAAACUGGGGCUAAUACCGGAUAGGAGCUCCUGCUGCAGGGUGGGGGUUGGAAAGUUUCGGCGGUUGGGGAUGGACUCGCGGCUUAUCAGCUUGUUGGUGGGGUAGUGGCUUACCAAGGCUUUGACGGGUAGCCGGCCUGAGAGGGUGACCGGCCACAUUGGGACUGAGAUACGGCCCAGACUCCUACGGGAGGCAGCAGUGGGGAAUAUUGCACAAUGGGAGGAAGCCUGAUGCAGCAACGCCGCGUGCGGGAUGACGGCCUUCGGGUUGUAAACCGCUUUCGCCUGUGACGAAGCGUGAGUGACGGUAAUGGGUAAAGAAGCACCGGCUAACUACGUG
RNAcentral lists this ribosomal RNA (468 nucleotides) under uncultured bacterium. Its description in RNAcentral is "partial 16S ribosomal RNA". It matches the Rfam family "Bacterial small subunit ribosomal RNA", at positions 28 to 507 of the family's 1533-position model. The record is from RNAcentral.